RNAcentral lists this ribosomal RNA (460 nucleotides) under uncultured bacterium. Its description in RNAcentral is "partial 16S ribosomal RNA". It matches the Rfam family "Bacterial small subunit ribosomal RNA", at positions 338 to 795 of the family's 1533-position model. The record is from RNAcentral.
CCUACGGGCGGCAGCAGUGAGGAAUAUUGGUCAAUGGACGCGAGUCUGAACCAGCCAAGUCGCGUGCAGGAUGACGGCCCUAUGGUUUGUAAACUUCUUUUAUAUGGGAAUAAAGUGAGGCUCGUGUGCCUCUUUGUAUGUACCCUAUGAAUAAGCAUCGGCUCUCUCCGUGCUAGCAGCCGCGGUAAGACGGAGGGUGCGCGCGUUAUCCGGAUUUAUUGGGGUUAAAGGGAGCGUAGGAGGGUACUUAAGUCAGCGGUGAAAGUUUGUGGCUCAACCCUGGAAUUGCCGUUGAAACGGGUGGACUUGAGUAUAUAUAGGGUAGCCGGAAUGCAUGGUGUAGCGGUGAAAUGCAUAGAUAUCACGAAGAACUCUGAUUGCGAAGGGAAGUUACUAAGGUGUAACUGACACUGAGGCACGAAAGCGUGGGGAGCAAACAGGAUUAGAUACCCUAGUAGUC